RNAcentral lists this ribosomal RNA (254 nucleotides) under uncultured bacterium. Its description in RNAcentral is "partial 16S ribosomal RNA". It matches the Rfam family "Bacterial small subunit ribosomal RNA", at positions 524 to 776 of the family's 1533-position model. The record is from RNAcentral.
UACGUAGGGGGCAAGCGUUGUCCGGAUUUAUUGGGCGUAAAGAGCUCGUAGGCGGUUUGGUAAGUCUGGUGUGAAAUCUCCACGCUCAACGUGGAGGGGCCACCCGAUACUGCCAUGACUGGAGUCCGGUAGAGGAGUGUGGAAUUCCCGGUGUAGCGGUGAAAUGCGCAGAUAUCAGGAGGAACACCAAUGGCGAAGGCAGCUCUCUGGUACGUGACUGACGCUGAGACGCGAAAGCGUGGGGAGCGAACAGG